GUCUGCAAUCAAAAUCCACUAAAAAAAGGAUUGAAAC
Molecule: non-coding RNA, 37 nt
Filed under: Methanosarcina sp. MTP4
Lineage: Archaea; Methanobacteriati; Methanobacteriota; Methanomicrobia; Methanosarcinales; Methanosarcinaceae
Source: RNAcentral